RNAcentral lists this ribosomal RNA (619 nucleotides) under uncultured bacterium. RNAcentral describes it as "bacterial SSU rRNA". It matches the Rfam family "Bacterial small subunit ribosomal RNA", at positions 202 to 842 of the family's 1533-position model. The record is from RNAcentral.
AAAAGAAAUUCGGUGCAGGAUGAGUCCGCGUCUGAUUAGCUAGUUGGAGGGGUAAAAGCCCACCAAGGCAACGAUCAGUAGCCGGCCUGAGAGGGCGACCGGCCACAUUGGGACUGAGACACGGCCCAAACUCCUACGGGAGGCAGCAGUGGGGAAUAUUGCACAAUGGGGGAAACCCUGAUGCAGCGACGCCGCGUGAGCGAGGAAGUAUUUCGGUAUGUAAAGCUCUAUCAGCAGGGACGAAAAAAGACGGUACCUGACUAAGAAGCCCCGGCUAACUACGUGCCAGCAGCCGCGGUAAUACGUAGGGGGCAAGCGUUAUCCGGAUUUACUGGGUGUAAAGGGAGCGUAGACGGCAAGGCAAGCCAGAAGUGAAAGGGCAGGGCUCAACCCUGUACAUGCUUUUGGAACUGUGGUGCUAGAGUGCAGGAGAGGUAAGUGGAAUUCCUAGUGUAGCGGUGAAAUGCGUAGAUAUUAGGAGGAACACCAGUGGCGAAGGCGGCUUACUGGACUGUAACUGACGUUGAGGCUCGAAAGCGUGGGGAGCAAACAGGAUUAGAUACCCUGGUAGUCCACGCUGUAAACGAUGAGUACUAGGUGUUGGGGGCUGAAGCCUUCG